RNAcentral lists this long non-coding RNA (21080 nucleotides) under Brassica napus (rape). RNAcentral's name for it is "long non-coding RNA (BNAP_LNC000920)". Lineage: Eukaryota; Viridiplantae; Streptophyta; Magnoliopsida; Brassicales; Brassicaceae. The record is from RNAcentral.
CCAAGAUUAGAUCACAUGUUCUUGAAAUGCCUCGUCACGUCAGAGCAGACUGUAUCCGAGUGGACGGUUUACGAGACAAGCCUUGUCAUGGAUGGACACACACUGACUGAAAUUUCCGCCUUUUGCUACAUAACAGAGAACUCGACGAAGACAUCAGAGUACGUUGCAUUGCUCGGUCACAUCUCAAUCAAAGAUCAUCAUGUUCAGCUCCUCCAGCAAAACCUCGUUUCCUUACCUCCAGCGACAUCAUGGGUAAUGGAGGCUCAUAACUUAGAGCUUGUACUGGGUAAAUCCGGUUCUAGGAUCCUUAAGGUUAAGCUAGAAUGGAGACAGACACAGCUUGAAGACUCUGUUCUCCCAGUGUACAAUGUGUAUGCAGAGAGUGUGAAGUCAACUGAUGUACUAAGAUCAAGGAAGGUUUUGGAGAAACCAAGAAGCGAGAGAGUGUUCCUAGGAGUGUCUCACGUACCAGCCUAUUACGUUUCGGAGCUGGUGGUAGAUUCUGACGUGAAAGGAGUCAGCUUCGUGGUUCAACCGUGUGGUGAAGAUGGUUCAUGGAGUAAGCUGGAUGUUUCCCCUAACCAUCUUGUUGAACUAGAAGGUCUCUCGUAGAUUGCUUGAAACUGUGAAACAAUAAAUCUAUCUUAUUAAAGUAGAAAAAAACAUAGAUAGCAACAAAAAAUGAAUAUAAUACUGUUUGUAAACAUGAAUAAAUAUAUUCAAAAAAAAAAGGGUUUAUGUUAUUAAAAAAAAUGAAAGUCUAAUUAUAUUAUAAGAAACUAUAUACUUGGUUCAGCUCUAAAAUAUACCAAAAAUGGUCUAAUGUAAUUAGGUAAAAAUAUCAUCUAAAAUAAUUAUAAAAAAUUAAAAUUUAUAUAUAUAUAUAUAUAUAUAUAUAUAUAUAUAUAUAUAUUUUUUCAAAUCAAAAUAUUAAUUUAAAAUUAAUUUAUAUCAAAAAUUGAUUCAAAAAUAUACGUAUAUUCAAAAUUUGAUUUUUACUAAAAUAUUUUCAAAAAGCCAUUAUUUAAAAAUGUUUUAAAUAUAUAUAAGAAAUAUACAAUACAAAGCUUAAUUUCAAACAAUAACUUAAAUUAUGCUUUUUAUAUUUCACAUUAAGUUUAAAAAUUAUAAUAUAUAUGAUUAUCUAUAUGAUAGUACUAGGACAGUUCAAUAUGGUAAAACCAAACCAAACCGUACUGAACUGAACCGAAAUAGACAAUAUUGUUUGAUUUUGGUAUAAUACCAUAUAAACCGAAUGAAUAUGAUUUUAUAAAUAUCGUAAAAUUUGGAUAUGGUUUGGUUUAUAACCGAUUAAACCGAAUAAACCGAACAAACCCGAUUAAAAGUAGAAACAUGUAAAUAUAUGUCUAUUUUAUAACGACACAUGAAAAUCUAUUUGUUAUAUAAGUUAAAUUUUCGUUAAUAACUAUAUUACUAUAUUUUUAUAGUAAUAAGAAAUCCUAAUUUACAAAACACUAGAACUAUAAUUAAAUAAAAAUAUAUCGAAAACUUUUUAUUUUCUUAGUCUUCUUUUUUUUGAUCUUUUUGCUUUAUUUUAGUAUUGACUAAAGAUGACAAAAAAGUAUUGACUAAAUUGAAGUGAAAGUUAUAAAUUUUGAUGGACAACAAUUAGUAGAAAUUCUUCAAAACUUAUUUCUUAUCUAUAAACGAACAUAGUUUCGUGUUUAAGCGAAGAAGCAAGACUUUGAUGGACACUAAAUAUGGAAGAGUGGAAAAACUUUUCUUUUAUGUUUCUGUUUUAUUUCUUAUUAUUAUUUUUAAAAUUUCAAGCUUUGAUUUUAAUUCUAGAUUUGAUUAUUGUAUUUGAUGGUAGAAGCGUUUUUACUUUUUGUUCAUUUAUUUGAACAUAUAAUAUGUUUUUAGUAAAUGAUUGCGUUGACAACAUGACUCUAAAAUUCAUAUAAUAUGAUCUCAAACUAAAUAAUUAUGUUUUUUUAUAUAAAACCGAAUAAAUAAAAAACUGAUGAUAUAUAAACCGAACCGAAGUAAAUAUGAAUUUAGAAUGGUAGUUAUAUUUUACUAAUCAAAGUACCAAAAAACAAAAAAAAAUGAACCGAAACCGAACUGAUAUCCGGAUUGAGCACCCCUAGAUGGUACAUAUAAAAUACGAUUAAUUAUAUGAUGACACAUAUGUGAUAUAUAAUAGUGACAUGAAUCUAUUUAUCAUGAUAAUUAGUAUAUUUAAUUAAUAAAUCAGUUUUUUAUUUAGUAUAUUUAAUUAAUGAUAUUUAGUUAAAUAUCAUUAACUACUUAUCAUGAUAUUUAGUAUAUUUAAUUAAUAAACAAAUAUUAACAAUAUCUAUCUAUAAUAUCAUAAUUACGUUUUUCUUAUAUCUAGUUUAUAAUUUUAAUGGCUAAUAUGAUAUUAGUUUCUCAGGUUAUUUUUGGAAAUAUGAUCCAAACAAUUAUUACGAUAUUAAAGUUAAGAUUAAAGGUAAAACAUCACUAAAAAUACAUAGUGAAAUAUAAAUUAUAUACUGAUGUUAAAUAUUUUUAUAUAUUUAAUAUUAAACAAUCAUAUUCCUAACGUAAAAUAAAUCCAUCUAUCAGUCUAUAGUAUUAUUUGAAAAGUGAAUUUGCCUAUUUGUUACAUUUUCUAUGAUUAUAAGAUAAUUCAUUAGUUUAUUUAAUAAUAUUAUAUAAGUGAAUUUGCUUACUUGUCAUCUUCUCCAUGAUUAUAGGAUAAUUCAUUAGCUUAAUUAAUAUUAUUAUUUACAUUUAUAUAUAUAUAUAUAUUUAUUUAUCAUGAUAUUUAAGAUUAUUAAUAAACAUUAACCUAUUCUACUGAAAAUAUAUACUAUUAUUUUUUUUAAAUGUAUUUUAAUAUAUAAUUAUCAUGAUAUUUAAGACAUUGAAUUAAUAAAUAGAUAUUAACAAUAUCUACCCGAUAAUAUCAUAAUUAUGUUUAUUUUAUAUUUAGUUUAUGAUUUUAAUGACUAACAUUAUAGUCAGUUUCUUUGAAUUUUACUGAAAGUAUUGAUCCAAAUAGAUGUUAUUAUUAUAUAUAAGUAUACUUAUAAGUAUACUAAUAUAUUUUAAUAAAUCGGUUUUUUCAGUUUAUUUGGUUGGAUCAGUUAAUAUAUUAAACCAUAUAUAUAUGAUGCGAUUUCUUAAAAGUAACAUCUAUUCGGUAUAUUUGUACUACCAAAUCCAAACUUUUUUUAUUUUGGUUCGGUUUUAGAUGGUUCGAUUUAACCAGUUUGAACAUCCCUAAGCUAUUGUUAUUUUGUAAUGUUUUGCGGGUUGCGAUUGUUUAUAAUCCUUUUAGUGCUAAUGGAUUUCUUUUGGGUCCAAAUAUAAUAAGUUUUUAAUCUAUAGAAAAUAUUUUGAUGCAAAAUCUAAUUUGCAUAAAUAAAACUAUGGAAAAAAGCAUAGUUUAAUACAUUGAUUAUCAAUAUGAGUAUUGAAGUUUAUAAUGUCAAUUUAAACUUUUUAUCUAACUUAAUAAUUAGAAUUAAAAAUAAAAAUUGUUAGGUACAUAUGUAUAUCUAACUACAGUAUAUGCAUUAUGCAUGUGUCUUGUAAUUAGUUGUUAGUUUUUUUGGGUCUUCUUUGGUGUGCACAACUUUUUCUUCUUUUCUUUUUGAAAAUUCCUGUAAUUAGUAUAGGAAAUUCAACUAUCCGACACAAAGUGGAUUUUUUGACGUGAUGAAUAUUAUAUUGGAUUUUUCUCUGUGGAUAUUAUUUUUGUGUGGAAUAAAAACAGUCUAUUAUUUUGUGCUAUAAAGAGAUGGCCAUGGAAGCAUGUUUACUCAUCACCAAUUUUCCUUUCUUUUUUGCUCUUUCAUUUUAAAGUUAAAUUAGCUUAAGGAAGAAUGAAAGGAUUUUGGAACUUAACGAGUACCAUUUCUCUUACUCUUUGUACACUUUUCUUAUUCGUCUACAAUUACGAGGACGUGUAUGCAGUUCCUACUACGCACUUGUGUCGUCCGGAACAAAGAGAUGCACUUCUCCAAUUCAAGAACGAGUUUGAGGUUCGAAACUCUUCCUUUCCUUACAAUAGUUCUUUCAGUUAUAAAGUAAAGUCGGAGUCAUGGGCGAAUAACACCGAGUGCUGUAACUGGAAGGGUAUCACUUGCGACCCCAAGUCCGGUGAAGUGAUAGAGCUAGACCUUAGUUCUAGGAACCUAGGUGGCCAGUUACAUUCCGUUAGCAGUCUUCAAACCCUUAAUUAUCUAACCACUCUAGACCUUUCAGGUAAUGAUUUCAGUGGUCACAUUCCUUCUUCGAUAGGAGACCUUUCUAAUCUCACCUUUCUUGAUCUUUCUGAUAAUCGUUUUUCGGGUCAGAUUCCAUCUGUGAUUGGAAACCUUUCUCAUCUCACCCAUCUUGAUCUUUCUGUUAAUCAUCUUUCGGGUCAGAUUCCAUCUGUGAUUGGAAGUCUUUCUCAUCUCACCCAUCUUGUCUUUCAAUCUAAUCAAAUUUCAGGUCAAAUUCCCAUUGCACUACUGAAUUUGACAGAGUUGUCAACUUUACUACUAGGCAAAAAUCAGUUCACAGGCAGAAUUCCUCAUAACAUCACUUCAUUAUCCAAGUUGAGCUCUUUUGAUGGAAGUACUAACUCUUUCACUGGAGCCCUGCCUUCUUCUCUCUUCACCCUUCCUUCUAUGGAUACUGUUCAUUUGUCUGAUAAUCAACUCAACGGUAUUCUUGACCUUGGGAAUAUAUCUUCACCACCUAAGCUACGAGUGUUACACCUUGGCAACAACAACUUGACAGGGCCAAUUUCGAGCACGAUAUCCAAACUUAUCAACCUUGGCGUACUUGACCUUUCCCACUACAAGAUCCAAGGUCCAAUUGACUUACGUAUCUUCUCCCAUCUCAAGAAGCUCCGACAUCUUGACAUAUCUUAUUUGAGCACGACCACUAAGAUUGACUUGAAUGAUAUCUUGUCCUUGUCCUGUUUUAAGAGGCUCGAUGGGUUGGUCCUCUCAGGAAACCAUGUUUCAGUGACAAACAAGAGUCCAGUUUCAGAUCCCGCUUCGCAAUUGCUGACUGAUUUGUACUUGUCAGGUUGCGGUAUCACAGAAUUUCCCGAGUUUAUAAGACCACAAAAUUUGCAGCGCCUAGACCUUUCCAACAAUAAAAUCAAAGGGAAAGUUCCUGGUUCGUUAUGGACACUAACGUAUCUGUAUUACCUGAAUCUUUCCAACAACAGUUUCACCGGAUUCGAAAACGCAACAACACAUGGGCUAAAAUUUCGGAUACCUAUGUUCUUGUUUGCCUCCGACAACAACUUCACAGGAAAGAUCCCCUCUUUCAUAUGCGAUUUGUAUGUAUCCAUGCUCGACUUAUCGAACAACAACUUCAGUGGUUUAAUCCCUCGUUGUAUAAAUUUCAAGGAUUUUCUUUUUCAUCUAAACCUUCGUCAAAAUCGUCUGCAUGGAGGUCUUCCGGAGACUAUAUUUGAAAACUUAAGAACGCUUGACGUCGGUCAUAACCAACUGACGGGAAAACUUCCAAGAUCUUUGAUCCAUUUCUCUAGUCUUGAAGUUUUGAACGUGGAAAGCAACACUAUCAAUGAUACGUUUCCGUUCUGGUUGAGUUCUCUACCACAGCUAAAAGUUCUUGUGUUACGCUCUAAUGCCUUCCAUGGACCAAUGCAUACAACUUCGUUCCCUAAGUUGCAAAUCAUAGACAUAUCGCACAAUCACUUCAAUGGAGCUUUGCCAUCAAACUACUUUGUGAAGUGGAGUGCUAUGUCAUCACUUGGGUCAAUUUAUUAUCAGCCGGAUGAAAAGUACAUGGGAAAUUCCUAUUAUCAUGAUUCAGUGGUGUUGAUGAAUAAAGGUUUAGAGAUGGAGCUACUACGUAUCCUAAAAAUCUUCAGAGCACUUGACUUUUCAGGAAACAAAUUUGAAGGAGAGAUCCCAAGCUCCAUUGGUCUAUUGAAAGAGCUCCAUGUGCUCAACUUGUCCAACAAUGCUUUCACCGGCCUCAUUCCUUCAUCUAUGGGAAACCUGACGGCUCUUGAGUCACUGGACCUUUCCCAAAACCAGCUUUCAGGAGAAAUUCCUCAAGAGCUAGAGGAACUCUCCUUCCUUUCCUACAUGAACUUCUCUCACAACCAGCUUGUCGGUCUAGUACCAGGCGGCACUCAGUUUCGAAGGCAGAACUGCACUUCCUUUGACGGUAAUCCGGGACUUUCUGGCCCUUCUCUUGACGAAAUUUGCAGAAAUAUUCACAUGUCAACACCGCAUGAAACGUUGGAGUCAGAGGAAGAAGAAGAGGUGCUGAGUUGGAUAGCAGUUGUAAUAGGCGUCAUACCUGGUUUUGCCUUUGGAUGGGUGAUUGGUUACAUACUUUUUUCCUACAAACCAGAGUGGUUCAUGAACCCUUUUGUCCGAAGCAAACCCAGACGAAGCAGCAACACAACUCAUUAAAGAGGUAAUAUUCUAGAGUUUUAAGUCAACUUGUUAGCAAACAUUUGAAGAAACAAAAAUAUUAUAGUCAAAUCUCCUGAAUAAACGUCCUUGUUUUGUUUGUAUAGGUCUUUUAUAACCUACCUGAAGAAUCUGAAAGAAGAAAAUUCAAAGCAACCACUAUGUUUAUCUGUAUCAAUUAAGAUUUGGGGUAUCAUCUCCAGUUUAGCUUGGUGUUUUUCUCAUUACUCUGUUUUUACUUUUUUACAAGCAAACUUCUUUGUUUCUCUGUUAUUGUUUUCGGUUUAAGUUGGUGUGUAUUUUCUCUACUUCUCUGUUUCUCUGUAAUUGAACAACUAUGUUUAUUAAGCUGAAAAUUACAAGCACAGUCAAAGAUGUGUAUUUUCAGCUCUUAUGUAUCUAAACAUUGUUGCAUCUGUGUGUCUUAAAUCUCUGUGUACCAGUAAAAGCCCAGCACUCGUGGGUAGGAUGAAGGAUAAAUGAAAUCGGAUUUUAAGGCUGAUAUAAAUAUGGGUCUAAGAGUUUGUAAGAUUAUUCAUUCACACAAUAAUAAGAAACACUAAACGGAUAUUUGCCUCAAUACAUUUUAUUCUCUAUUGUCUUCUUGCUUAAUUCGUGACUGUUCACACAAACAUCAACUGUAUAGACGUGAGAUGAGCAAUAAACAGAUGAUCCAGAUCAACGCUGCGAUGAGAUGCUUGCCACUAAGGUGUCUGCUCAAAUGUAUGCAGAGGGUUUGGCAGAGAUUGCUACUUUUCUAGGUUUUUAUGGAUGGCUGGUGAGUUUUGUGAUUAUGGUUGAUGUUUGUUUUCAUUGUCUCAUUUCAUUAAUCUAUAUAUGAUAGGUUAAUAUUGCAGUGUAUAUGAUAGAGAAACAAUGUAUCAGCUGCUAUUUUCGCUCCCGGAUGGGUAUAUGAGACUGCUCAACCACCUAAUUUUCAUACAGCUCAGAAUAAGUAAUACUCUUUUUUGCCUGUUUCAUUGUAAAAAAAUUGUCAUCUCUUUGUUAUUAACGUUCAUGCGUUUUUUCUUCGGAUGGUGGUCACUUGUAGAGAAGUCAUGGGGAAUAGUCCAAACAUAUCCACAAGUCUUGCCUUUCUACUCAGAUUUCAAUCAAGUUAACUGAGAUUGAUUUUGUCUUUCUUCCUAUCUUGUUACAAUAACACAAGUGUACCUAUGAUUUCUGUUCAGUUAUGCUCUGAAGAUCUCUUUUCUUGAGGGUCGCCAGAUAUCUUAUGCUCCAUGGUACAACAUAUCUUGCCAAAGUCUCCAGGUUCAACCCUCUUAUAGUCAUUCAUUGUACAUAUAAUAUUAUCUUCUCAUCUGAUUGUUGUCUUUGUUGUGUUAUUCACGUCAGCCACUCCUAGAGUUCAAGGAAGACAACACUGAUAUCAUUCAGGUCACUGUUGAGUGAGUUCUGGCCCUGAAACUAAAAAAUGUUUUUAACUUCUUGUUGAUUAAGAUACAUUUAUUCGCAAAUGUAUAACGGCAAGCACAUGACUUUGUUUAGUGCUGGAGAGGCAUCUUAUAACGGAGGAGGGAAUAUUGUAUUUAACGGAAGACUCGACGGAGAUGUGAAUUUCACAGCGAGGCUCUUUAAACCUCUUCUUCACCUUUCUUCUUCCCCCAUCACAGUCUCCUACUCCGUAAGUCCCUCUACUUUUAGAUACAUCACAUUAUUUGAUCUUCUUGUUUCUCUACUAACGGAGGAUCUCGGAUUUGGUGCAGGUGAAAUCAGAUGAGACUUCUAAACUUGGACUCCUGCUUAGUCCACAAGAACUAAUCCCUAGAUUCAGGUAGAUCACAUGUUCUUCAAGAUUAAUUUCACAUCCUUUCGGUCAAGAUCCAUUUGCACUUUUUCGUUUAUGAUCAUUGGUCACGACCGUUUUGUAUAUUUUCGGUCAAAAUACAUUCACAUCAUUUCAGUCACAAAACGUUUAUACUCCUUGGAUCGUGAUGUGUUUGUACCUCUUGGAUCACAACACGUUCAUACCUCUUAGAUUAUAAUGCGUUCAUAUCUCUUAAAUCACAACACAUUUGUACCUCUUCGUUUAUGACACCACGUAAAUAUUUAUCAUUUUUUAAUCAUUGUUAAUAUGAAAAUUGUGUCUCUUAAAAGCUUUUUAUGAAAAGUUAUUUUUAUUAGUAUUGAAAUGAAAUUUAUGUCUUUUUGUUUUACUUUAUUCAUAUAUAUGAAUAGUCACAUCUUUCAAUUUAAAGGUGGUUAUUUUGAAAUGAUACUUAUAUGAACAGUAACAACUUUUUAAUUUAAAUAGUCACAUCUUUUCAAAUUUAAAUUUAAUUAUUUUGAAAUUAUAGAAAUAUGAAUAGUCACAACUUUUCAUUAAAAUAAUUACAUAUUUUACAAUUAAAUUAUAACUAAUGCACAACUCUUGAAAUAAAUAAAGAAAAGACACAACUUUAACAAGAAAUAAAAUUCCUAUAAAAAUACACAACUUUUCAACAUUGUUUGGAUUUUUCAUGUAAAACAUUUAAGAGAUGCAACUUUAUGCAUAAAACUUAAGAGAUUCAAAUUUUCAUAUUAAUCAAUACACUGAUUUUUAGAAAUAAAACAAUUGCAAAUAUUUAUAAAAUAUUAAUAAAUAGAUAUGAGCAAAAUAAAAAUGAAAAGACAUAAUUUUUCAUCUCAAUACUAAUAAAUACAACUUUUCAUAUAAAAAAUUAAAAGAUGCAACUUUCAUAUAGAUGAAUAGUCAAAUUUUUUCCAGUUUAAAGGUGAUUAUUCUGAAAUGAUACUUAUAUGAAUAGUCAUAAUUUUUCAAUUUAAAUAGUCACAUCUUUUCAAUUUAAAGAUAGUUAUUUUGAAAUAAUACAUAUAUGAAUAGUCACAAUUUUUCAUUUAAAUAAUUACAUCUUUUUAAUUUAAAUACUAAGUAAUACACAACUCUUGAAACCAAAGGACAUAUCUUAAUAUAUAAUGAAAAGACACAAUUUUUAACAAGAAAUAAAAUUCCUAUAAAACACAUCACUUUUCAAUAUGGUUUAGGAUUGCUAUUAUUAGUAGAUUGUUUUUUUUUCUUCACCAUUUUAUUUGAUUAGUGAAAAUUAUGCUUUGAGAAGGCAUGGACAUUGGACUAUUUGUAGAUUUUCAAAAAUUUGUUUGAAGAGUCACAUCUUUUGAAUUAAAAGGUUGUGUCUUUUUGUAAUAAUAAUUAUAUGAAGAGUCACAACUUUUCAAUAUAAAUGGUCACAUUCUUUCAAUAUAAAUAGUUAUUUUAAAAUAAAAAACACAAUUUUUAAUUGUUGAAAAGACACAAUCUUUCAACAUAAGUGGAAUUCACAACUUUUUGAAUUAAUUGAGAUUGCUAUUAUUAGUAGAUAUGGCUCGAUCAUGAGUACAUUUAAUUCACGAAGAAGAGUUGAUUCUUGUGUCAUGACGAAUAUUCUCACAAUUAUAUGACUUCAAGCAAGUUGAUAGUUUUGUUCAUUUUGAUUGAUUCUUAGUAAGAGUUUAUUCUUUUUGUCAUUUUGUACAUAUUUCUCAUUUUGGAAAUCAUGAGGAAUAAACCGAAAUAAAAAUAAGACCGUUCGCCGUUGAGUUUUCUUGAAAAGGUUGAUGUUUGUUUUCUUCUUAUUAAAUAUAAGAGAUUCAUUCUUAUUUUGAAAUUCUAUCAAAAUUAAACUAGUUUAGCAGUUAAAUUAGUUAUUUUUUCAAAGCAAGGAAUGUCAGAACUUUUAAAUAAUAAGUAAAAAAGAUAAAACAUUUACUAUCAAAUCGAAAGACUACAAUAUAUGCAAAUAUGCAUGGGUCUCGUAAUCGUAAACGUUAGUACUUUCGCGUCAAUAUGCGUGGGUCGUUACUAUAUGCAAUAUGCAUGGGUCGUUAGUAUACGUUAGUUUUUUUUUUGUAACAUAAAAACAUUAGUAUACGUUAGUUUAAAUCCAAAUAUAAACCUAAGCAAAAUAAGACUUCAUGAGUUACGUCUUCUUUGGUUUUGACAAUUUUUUUUUUUUUUUUGAAAAUUCAUGUAAUUAGUGUAGGGGACCAAUAUGUGUAGAAAAUUGACUAUCCGACACAAAGAUUUUGCUUUCGACGUGACGAAUAAUGUAUUUUUCUCUGUGGAUUUUCUCUUGUGUGGAGUAAAUACAGAGUCUAUUAUUGUGUAUAUAAAGAAAUGGCCAUGGAAGCAUGUUACUCAUCACCAAUUUCCCUUUUCUUUUUGCUCUUUCAGUUUUUGAUAUUCAAGAAAGUUAAAUAAGCUUAAAGAAGAAUGAAAGGGUUUUGGAACUUAACGAGUACCAUCUCUCUUAUUCUUUCUAUACUUUUUUUAUUCGGCUACAGUUAUGAGGACGUGUCUGCGGUUCCAACUAAGCACUUGUGUCGUCCAGAUCAAAGGGAUGCACUUCUUCAGUUCAAGAACGAGUUUGAGGUUCUAAACUCUUCCUUUACUUAUUAUAAUUGUAUUGAUCGUGGUAUUACGCCUCAUCGGAAGACAGAGUCAUGGGUGAAUAACAGCGACUGCUGUAAUUGGGAGGGUAUCACGUGCAACGUCAAGUCCGGUGAAGUGAUUGAGCUAGAUCUCAGUUGCAGCUACCUAGGUGGCAGGUUUCAUUCCAAUAGCAGUCUUCGAAAACUUCAUUCUCUAACCACUCUAGACCUUUCAGUUAAUGAAUUUAGUGGUCAAAUCAUGUCUUCAGUUGGAAACCUUUCUCAUAUCACCUCUCUCGACCUUUCACUUAAUCAGUUCAGCGAGUUCAUUCUUUCUUCGAUAGUAGACCUUUCUUAUCUCACUUUUCUCGAUCUUUCAUUUAAUAGUUUAUCGGGUGAGAUUCCAUCUUCGAUUGGAAAUCUUUCUCAUCUCACCUAUCUUAACCUUAAUUUGAAUCAAAUUUCGGGUAAGAUUCCAUUUUCUUUUGGAAAUCUUUAUAACCUCACUUAUCUUGACCUUUCUGGGAACAAUAUUGUUGGAGAAAUCCCAUCUUCUUUUGGAAACCUAAACCAGUUGACCACCUUAGAUGUUAGUCUCAAUAAGCUCAAUGGAAGCUUUUCCAUUGCACUACUGAAUUUGACAAAGUUGUCAUCUUUAAAACUCUAUGACAAUCAGUUCACAGGAACAAUUCCUCAUAACAUCACUUCACUAUCCAAAUUGACGACCUUUUAUGCAAGUAACAACGCUUUCACUGGAACCCUGCCUUCUUCUCUCUUCACCAUUCCUUCUAUUGAAGAUGUUAGAUUGUCUGAUAACCGAUUGACGAACUUGACCUUUCCCAUUACAAGACACAAGGUCCAGUUGACUUUAGCAUCUUCUCAUAUCUCAAGUGGCUAUAUAUUCUUGACCUAUCCUAUUUGAACACAACCACUGCCAUUGACUUGAAUGAUUUCUUGUCAUAUUUUAAGAGUCUCGGUGUGUUGGAUCUCUCAGGCAACCAUGUUUCAGCCACAAACAAGAGUACAAUUUCAGAUCCUUCUUCUUUGUAUCAGUUGCACUUGUCAGGCUGCGGUAUCACCGAGCUCCCGGAGUUUGUAAGAUUGCAAAAUAUGGAGAAGGUAGACAUUUCUAACAAUAAAAUCAAAGGAAAAGUGCCUGGCUGGUUAUGGAAGCUACCAAAUCUGUCUUACCUCGAUAUUUCCACCAACAAUUUCACCGGCUUCGAAAAUGCAACUAAACAUGGGCUAUCUUUAAUGACCUUGUUAGCCUCCAACAACAAUUUCAGUGGAAAGAUUCCCUCUUUCAUAUGUGAUUUGGGCUCUGUAGAAACUCUUGAUUUAUCAAACAACAACUUCAAUGGUUCAAUCCCUCGUUGUCUGGGUAAUCUCAACUAUACUCUUACAGAUCUAAACCUUGGUAAAAAUCGUCUCCAUGGAGGUCUUCCAGGGAAUAUAUUUGAAAGCUUAAGAGCGCUUGACGUCGGUCAUAACCAACUUACGGGAAAACUUCCAAUGUCUUUGAUCAAUUUCUCUAGUCUUGAAGUUCUGAACGUGGAAAGCAACAUUAUCAAUGAUACGUUUCCAAUCUGGUUGAGUUCUCUACCAGAGCUCAAUAUUCUUGUAUUACGCUCCAAUGCCUUCCACGGACCGAUACAUCAAACUUCCUUCCCUAAGUUGAAAAUCAUCGACAUAUCACACAAUCACUUCAAUGGAGCUUUGCCAUCAGACUUCUUUGUGAAGUGGAGUGCUAUGUCAUCACUUGGGACAGUUUAUGAUCAGCCGGAUGAAAUGUACAUGGGAUAUUACUAUUACCAUGAUUCAAUGGUGUUGAUGAAUAAAGGUUUAGGGAUGGAAUUUCAACGUAUCCUAAAAACUUUGAGAGCACUCGACUUUUCAGGAAACAAAUUUGAAGGAGAGAUCCCAAGGUCUAUCGGUCUAUUAAAAGAGCUUCUUAUGCUUAACUUGUCGAAUAAUGCUUUCACUGGCCACAUCCCUUCAUCUAUGGGAAACCUGACAGCUCUUGAGUCACUGGACGUUUCCCAAAACCAGCUUUCAGGAGAAAUUCCGCAAGAGCUAGGGAGUCUCUCAUUCCUUUCGUACAUGAACUUCUCGCAUAACCAGCUUACAGGUCUAGUACCAGGAGGCACUCAGUUUCAAAGGCUGAACUGCACUUCCUUUGAGGAUAAUCCGGGACUUUCUGGCCCUUCUCUUGACGAAAUUUGCAGAGAUAUUCACACGCCAACACCGCAUGAAACGUUGGAGUCAGAGGAAGAAGAAGAAGAGGAAGAGGUGUUGAGUUGGAUAGCAGCUGUAAUAGGAGUCAUACCUGGUAUUGCCUUUGGAUGGGCGAUUGGAUACAUACUUUUUUCGUACAAACCAGAGUGGUUCAUCAACCCUUUUGCCCGAAACAAGUGCAGAAUCAGCAGCACCACAACUCAUUAAAAAGGUAAUUUUCAAGAGUUUUAAAUCAACUUGUUAGAAAACACUGGAAGAAACAAAAAUAUUAAUAGUGAAAUCACCUGAGUUAACCUUUUCUUUUUUUGGUACAGGUCUUUUAUAAGCUACCUGAGGAAUCUGGAAGAAGAAAUCCAAAGGACCACUAUGUCUAUCCGUAUCAAAUAAGAUUUGGGAUAUCGUUUCUGGUUUAGCUUGGUGUGUUUUUUCUCUAUCUCUAUUUUUUUACGUUUUAGCAAACUUCUUUGUUUCUCUGUAAUUGAACAACAACUAUGCUUCUUACGCUGAAAAUUACAAGCACAGUCAAAGAUGUAUCGUUUUUCCCCCUCUUGUGAAUCUUAACAUCAACUGUUUAGACGUUAGAUGAGCAAUGAACAGAUGAUCCAGAUAAAAGCUAUAAUCAACACAGGGCUUUAGAAAAGGAUGUACAUAUUAUAUAUGGAUAUUUCGAUUGUUCAUAUCAAUGAGACACAUUAAUUCAUAGAAACUAUAGACUUUGCAAAUAUAAUUAUCAAGAUUCCAUUUUGUGUAUAUACGAAGUUCAAAAGGUUUUAAGCUUAUGAUUUUCGAAUGUGACAAUACAAAAUAAUAAAAAAAGUUUGCGUUGAUUUAUCUUGUGAUUGGUAAUAUUCUCAUUGAUAAUGAAUGAUGAGUAGAAGAGGAAGAGAAAUGGCUAGUAAAGGCCUAAAGGGGUCUUGUUUUCUCCAUGUCCACACUCUCUUGUUUCUAAUUCAACCUUUGAUUGUUUGAUUAAAUAUUUAUAAUCUAAAUUAACAAUAACCAAAUAUAUAUAUACUCAUUUAAAAUUGGGAAAAUUGCUAAAAGAGAACAAAAAAACAAGGUUGUUGUCCCUUUAGUAUAAAACCAACAUAAAGUUGUCUCAAUAGUAUAAUUUUUCUCAUAAUCCCAAAACUAACCCUAUAUUUAAUCUAAUUAAACACAAUUUAAAAGUUAAUUUGAAUUUUAAAAAAAAAGUUAAUGGAAAAAAGGUAAAAAACAGUAGAAAGGCAAUCGAAAAAAAAAAGAGGUAUAGAUAUGCAUCAUAGAGAACAAGAGUUUGUGAGAAGAAUCAAAAGAAAAACUAUGGAAAAACCAUAGAUUGAUGAAGAAGAGAAGGAAUAAUCGUUUUUUUUUAAAUUUUUUAAGUAAAAUCGACCAUAACACGUUUUAGAAAGUUAAAAUAUUUCUAAGAGAUUUUUAGAAUAUUUUCUUAACUGAAAUUUCAUUAAUUUUCGCAAAAAAUCAAGUAUUCUUAUCCGUAGAAGGCGACUUCUAAAAGUUUAGAAGAAUGAUAAAAAUUCUGAAUACACUUUCUACUUUGAGUAGACGUAAGAUUACAUUGUAGAAAACACAUUCCUCGAAAUUUAGAAUACUUUAUAAAAGUAGAAGAUGCAUUCGGAAGGAAAGUGGAUACCUUUACGAUUAGUAGAAUGUGCAUUCCUCUUUUUUAGAAAUUUAGUAAAUAGUAAAAUGAACGUUCUAAAAGAAGUAGAUGAACGUGUUUAUUUUAGAAAUCGUUUUCUACUAUACCAUUUUUCAUAGAAGACGCAUUCUACUUUUAGUAGAACGUAUUUUAAAAAUCUUAUUUACCAAAUUUUUGAGCAAAAGAAAAUUACCAGCUUGUGUAUAUGGAUGUUUUAUUAAUUUUUUAUAUUUUUAAUAAUUUUUUUGAUUCAUAAAAUUAUUUAUUUCAUUAGUUUUCAGAAAUACAAAGGGUAAAAAGGAGAAAAACUAGACAAAAUUAGUUUUAUACUAAAAGGACAACAACCUAAUUUUUUUGUUCUCUUUUGGCAAUUUUCCCUUUAAAAUUUGGGUUUAACGAUCAUUAUCCAUUUGAUAAGAAAAUUCCUCUUGGAUCUUUCUUUUUAUAUUUUUCCUGACUGACUUUUUAAUCGAAUCCAAGUCUUGCUUCUCUUUGUUUUGGUGUCCACGAUCUCAAAAAAGAAACAGCCAACUGAUUGGUCACUUUCACAAUCCCUCUGGUACGUUAUCCUUUGAUUUUUCAACAUUAUACUUAAAGCUCAAUACCAAAAUCUCAAAGAUAAGCCACUACAUGAUCAUGAUGUGUGUGACCUACGAGCUUGGACUCGAACCCACGAGCCAAUCAUGUAACUAGCAAUGAAAAGAUCAAGCCAACACAAAUGAUGAAUAGGCCCAUGCCUUGCCCCCAUUCUGUUCCCUUCUUAAUUAAUCUACAAAAACAAAAUCUUCUUCAGAAGAAGAUGCGUGAGCUUCAACACGAUAAAGAUUGAUGCAAAGUCAUAUAAGCAAACAGCCAAAUCAAUAGCUUGGUGGGUUUGGUCUUCCAAAAGUAAAUUAUGGAAGAACAUGAAUGUCUCUGAUGUACAUUGUCCUGGAAAGAGAACUCUGAGACCUGAUUACGCAAAAGACUAAUUGCUGAUAACAAAAAAAGGAGAAAAGAACGCUAUUUGAAACUGCAGGCAUUGAUACAGAAACUAUCAUACAUUAAACACUUGACAAAAGUACAUGUUGAUAUGUCUGUCAGAUUACUACAAGAGUUUCUUUCACCAAUCUGCUUUGCUACCAAUGUACCCUAAAUAAGAUAAGUAAACACAAAAAAAAAAGCAUUACUCUAACUUGAAACCUAGUGAGUAAGAAUAAUAACAGUUUCUCCAAUCUCCAUGAGCUGAGCUCUCAGAUCCAACCAUUGCUCUACCAGAGUAUAGCUUCUCCACAAAACUAAUCUCUACAACUUCUUCCCUGUACAACAACAGCACAAUUCAAGUUUUCAGUAACUCAAUUGAGUAGAUGCUCAAAGUUAUGGUUCCAAAUCAACAAUCUCAAGCCUCACAAGCUUAAAGAUUCAUCUUUACAAGCACAUAAAAAUGAAAACUUUCCUUUCUGCCUUCAACUUAGCCACAUCGUUUAUCAACCUGCCUUUAACUAGACAAGUCGAAAAUAUAACCCUCUGAGCAAUCUAGAAGGUUACGUAUGACGUCCUAUGUUCUGAGCCAAUUCGAAUCUUCGAGCCCUACAUCUUCAAUUCCGUCAAGUUUACGCUAGAUUGCUCUCCAGAGCCUCCUGGUACCACCAUUGUAGUAAUCGAAGUUGCGAGAGCAAAAGCCUUCUCAUGCCUACACUAAAGGUGAUGUAUUGCUCUAUUCAGGGUUGGCUCCUUUAUUCAGAGAAUAUAAAUAUUUUUAAAAUAAAUCUUGAUAAAAUAAUACAAAGCUCUUUUAAAUUUGGAAUAGGGCUAAUAGUAACAAUUCGCUUGCUAUGUUUCAGUUGAGUUUGUUGUUUUCUUGAAGCUGUUUCUGUCCUUUGUAUACUUGUGUGCGAUCUUGUUUGAUAAGUUUAUAGAGUUGGACAUGAAUGUAAUGAUGCUCUUGUAGGCUAAAUCAUCAAGCGUUGAAGCAUCUUUGAAGUAUAAGAAUAUUUUUUGGAUAUGGGACGGUUCUAUAUAGUUUAUGGCUGUGAGGAUUGUAUUUGCCGAAGUUCAAAAGACUUCCCACUCCUUUUAGUUCCCGUCUUUACUUUUCGACUCAAGACUGGCUUACGUUUUCUUCUUGCAAAGAAGGUUCUCUCAGACUUUUCUCUUGGUCUUCUCUCAAGCAAGUACACGAGCUGGUCUACACGGUAAGCUGGUAGUCUGAUAGACCUGUAUCAAUCAAUGAGGAGGCAACUGGGACAUAGUCUGCUUUCUGCAUUCAAGCAUACUAUUAAAUAUGACGAGAGAAAUAUCCACACAUGAACUUAAUAUCGAUUAGGAAAAUCAUUUUAGUGGUCAAGAACGAGUUUGAGGUUCUAGACUCUUCCUUUGCUUAUGAUUGUUAUUUUGAUAUAGUAAAGCUUCAUCCGAAAACGGAGUCAUGGGCGAAUAACAGCGACUGUUGUACUUGGGAGGGUAUCAAGUGCAACGUCAAGUCCGGUGAAGUGAUCGAGCUAGACCUUAGUUGCAGCUACCUAGGUGGCCGGUUUCAUUCCAAUAGCAGUCUUCAAAACCUUCAUUCUCUCACCACCCUAGACCUUUCAGGAAAUCGUUUUAGUGGUCAAAUCAUGUCUUCAAUUAAAAACCUUUCUCAUAUCACCUCUCUGGACCUUUCACUUAAUCAGUUCAGCGAGAACAUUCCUUCUUCGAUAGUAGACCUUUCGUAUCUCACCUAUCUCGAUCUUACAUAUAAUCGUUUUCCUGGUCAGAUUCCAUCUUCUAUUGGAAAUCUUUAUAACCUCACUUAUCUUGACCUUUUUGGGAACGAUAUUGUUGGCGAAAUCCCAUCUUCUUUUGGCAAUCUAAACCAGUUGACCAGCUUAAAUGUUUACUACAAUAAUCUCAAUGGAAGCUUUCCCAUUGCACUACUGAAUAUGAAAGAGUUGUCAUCUUUAAUGCUCAACGGCAAUGAGUUCACAGGCACAAUUCCUCCUAACAUCACUUCACUAUCCAAAUUGACGAAUUUUAUAGCAAGUUACAACGCUUUCACUGGGACCCUGCCUUCUUCUCUCUUCACCAUUCCUUCUAUGGAUCGUGUUGAUAUGUCUGAUAGCCAACUCAACGGUAUUCUUGAGUUUGGGAAUAUAUCUUCACUACCUAAGCUACGAGAGUUAGACAUUGGCCAAAACAACUUGAGAGGGCCAAUCCCGGAAACGAUAUCCAAAUUUACAAACCUUGUCCGACUUGGCCUUUCCAAUUACAAGACACAAGGUCCAGUUGACUUUAGUAUUUUCUCGCAUCUCAAGUGGCUUGAAUAUCUUGACUUAUCCUAUUUGAACAUGACCACUACGAUUGACUUGAAUGAUUUCUUGUCAUAUUAUAAGAGGCUCGAGAGGUUGGUUCUCUCAGGCAACCAUGUUACAGCCACAAACAAGAGUCCAGUUUUAAAUUCCCCUUUGUUGUAUAAGUUGCACUUGUCAGGCUGCGGUAUCACCGAGUUUCCUGAGUUUGUAAGAUCGCAAAAUAAAAUCAAAGGACAAGUGCCUGGCUGGUUAUGGACGCUACCAAAUCUUACUUACCUGAAUCUUUCCAACAACACUUUCACUGGCUUCGAAAACUCAACUACAGUUUCACCUUCAAGGCUAUAUAACAUAAACGUGCUUGCCUCAGACAACAAUUUCACGGGAAAGAUUCCCUCUUUCAUAUGUGAUUUGCCCUAUGUUAACACUCUUGAUUUAUCGAACAACAACUUCAGUGGUUUAAUCCCUCGUUGUCUGGGAAAUCUCAAGUAUUCUCUUGUACUUCUAAACCUUCGUCAGAAUCGUCUUCAUGGAGGUCUUCCAGAAAAUAUAUUUGAAAGCUUAAGAACGCUUGACAUCGGUCAUAACCAACUGACGGGAAAGCUUCCAAGAACUUUGAUUCAUUUUACUUCCAGAGCUAAAAGUUUUUGUAAUACGUACGCUCCAAUGCUUUCCAUGGACCGAUACAUCAAACUUCGUUUCCUAAUAAGUUGCAAAUCAUGGACAUAUCGCACAAUCACUUCAAUGGAGCCUUCCCAUCAGACUACUUUGUGAAGUGGAGUGCUAUGUCAUCGCUUGUGACAAAUAAUGAUCGGCCGGAUGAAAGUUAUUUGCUCAAUUAAAAUUUGGGUUUAACGAACAUCUUCCAAUUUAUAACAAAAUUCCUCUUGGAUCAACCUAUAUUUUAAUUUCUUUGAUUGUCUUUUUAAUUGAAUCCAAGAGACAUCCAACUGAUUGGUUGGUACGUUAUCCUUUGAUUUUUCAACAUUAUACUUUGCAUUUUCUCUCCUUAUUUUCAACAACUUUCUCCCGCAACGUCAGUAAGCUUCUCAGUGAGGUCCUUGAAGAACAUAGACAAGAAACCGAUAACUCGUUGUCUUAUGAGACUGAUGUUCGUCUCAAGGAUCCUGUGUUACGGUUGCAUUGGAGCCAAUAGCUUCUCUGCAGAAGAAGAUGCUUGAGCUUCAACAUGAUAUAGCCAGUUGCUCGCUCUCGACCACUUGGCCAUUCUGGAGUUAACAACAACAAAGCUGCAGUCUACUUUGAUGCCGUUCUCUGAGUUUGAUCACGAGGAGAAGAGAAGCCUCAUGCAACGUUGCUUGUAGCAGCUUUUUUGAUAAUCUUGAGAGCCUAAUAUAGAUGUUUUAUGUAUCCAAUGUUAUAUCCUUUGCUUUUCGUGAAAGCUAUGAAUUGAAGCAUGUAAUUUCCAUGUCGUGGAUUCUUCACUAUGGUUUUUUUUUUCCAUAUAUGCUAUGGUUUUUGUUUAGCGUACGAAACAAGGAAACGAAGAGUGCGAGGAGACCUUCUUCGCGCCUAUUUCUCACGAAGAACUCUCGUGUCUCUACAACCUCUUCUUCACCCUCUCCCGUAAGCUCCUCACUUCAUUCCCUCUCUCCCUCAUCAUGCCUAAAUCCAACGACGGUGACGCCGUCGCAGAAUCCGAGUCGACGACAAGUGGGUCCAAGGGUGUGAAAACGACGCCGGAUUUGCGAUUUGGCAUUGGUAUUUGAUGGAUGUGUUCGUUUACUUCUCUCACUCUCUGGUGUCUCUUCCUCCUCCUUGCUGGACCAAUACAGCUCACAGGCAUGGCGUUAAGGUAAAGAAUGCAUUCUUGUGGAUACAUUAGUUGAUUUGGAUGUGGUUUCAUUAGAUUAUUGGAUUGAUACUUUCUUGUGUGUGUGUGUUAUGGAAACGUUAAUAGGUGUUGGGGACUUUCAUUACGGAAUGGGAUGAAGGUAAAGCUACCUGCAGUGAGAUGAUUGCCACUAAGGAGUCUGCUCAGAUGUAUGCUGAGCGUUUGGCUGAGCUUUCUAAUUCUCUAGGUUUCGAUGGAUGGCUGGUGAGUUUUGUCUUUGUCAUCUUAUUAUUGUUCAUGCUUGUUCUCUCCAGGUGGUGGUCACUUGUUGAGAAGUCAUGGGGAAUAGUCCAAACAUAUCCACAAGUCUUGCCUUUUUACUCUGACUUCAAUCAGGUAAAGUAUACAUCGACUGUCUUGGCUAUGAUUUAUGUUAAGUUAUCUUUUCUCGUUAAUCCAGGGCUUUGGUUACCAUGUUUCACUCGAGGGUCGCCAGUUAUCUGAUGCUCCAUGGUACAACAUUUCUUGCCAAAGUCUUCAGUUUCAACCAUCUUAUCGUCUUUGCUUUAACUGCACAUAUAAUAUUUUGUCUCUUCUCUCAUCUGAUGGGUGCCUUUGUUGUGUUAUUAAUGUUAGCCAAUCCUAGAGUUCAAGGAAGACAACACUGAUAUCAUUCAGCUCACUAUUGAGUGAGUUCUGACCCUGAUACUAAAAAAUGUUUUUGACUUCUUGUUGAUUUAGAUGCAUUUGUUUGCAAACGUAUAACGGUAAGCACAUGAAUUUGUUUAGUGCUCGAGAGGCAUCUUAUAACGGAGGAGGGAACAUUGUAUUUAAAGGAAGACUCGAAGGAGAUGUGUAUUUCACAGCAAGGCUCUUUAAACCUCUCCUUCACCUUUCUUCUUCCCCCAUCACAGUCUCCUACUCUGUAAGUCUUUGUUUUUAGAUACAUCACAUUACGAGAUCUUCUUGUUUUCUUUCUACUAAUGGAAAAUCUUGGAUUUGGUGCAGGUGAAAUCAGAUGAGACUUCUAAACUUGGACUCCUGCUUGGGUUUUCAUCACCAUCGCACCAAACUAAAUCCAUACUUGUGGCGCCACAAGAAACAACCCUAAGAUUAGAUCACAUGUUCUUGAAAUGCCUCGUCGCAUCAAAGCAGACUGUAUCCGAGUGGACGGUACACGAGACAAGCCUUGCCAUGGAUGGCUACACACUGACUGAAAUCUCUGCCUUUUGCUACAGAACAGAGAACUCGACGAAGACAUCAGAGUACGUUGCAUUGCUCGGUCACAUCUCAAUCAAAGAUCAUCAUGUUCAGCUACUCCAGCAAAACCUCGUUUCCUUACCUCCAGC